RNAcentral lists this transfer RNA (67 nucleotides) under Batillaria cumingii. RNAcentral's name for it is "tRNA-Pro". The record is from RNAcentral. RNAcentral also lists the same sequence under 1 other name. Lineage: Eukaryota; Metazoa; Mollusca; Gastropoda; Batillariidae.
CAGAGCAUAGUUUAUACAAAACAUUAACAUUGGAAGUUAAAAAUCGGCGUAAAUCGUCGUGCUUUGA